Molecule: ribosomal RNA, 406 nt
Filed under: uncultured bacterium
Lineage: Bacteria
Description: partial 16S ribosomal RNA
Rfam family: Bacterial small subunit ribosomal RNA
Source: RNAcentral
AUUGAACGCUGGCGGCAGGCUUAACACAUGCAAGUCGAGCGAGCGGCGGCCGGGUGAGUAAUGUCUGGGAAACCCUCUGAUGGAGGGGGAUAACUACUGGACACGGUAUAUAAUACCGCAUUCCCUCAAAUGUGCCCAUAUGGGCUUGGCGAGUAGGUGGGGUAAGGGCUCACCUAGGCGACGAUCCCUAGCUGGUCUGAGAGGAUGACCAGCCACACUGGAACUGAGACACGGUCCAGACUCCUACGGGAGGCAGCAGUGGGGAAUAUUGCACAAUGGGCGCAAGCCUGAUGCAGCCAUGCCGCGUGUGUGAAGAAGGCCUUCGGGUUGUAAAGCACUUUCAGCGAGGAGGCGUUACUCGCAGAAGAAGCACCGGCUAACUCCGUGCCAGCCGCCGCGGUAAUAC